RNAcentral lists this unclassified non-coding RNA (219 nucleotides) under uncultured Tomentella. RNAcentral describes it as "sequence contains ITS2". Lineage: Eukaryota; Fungi; Basidiomycota; Agaricomycetes; Thelephorales; Thelephoraceae. The record is from RNAcentral.
ACAUCUCAACUCCUCACGGUUUGCCCGUGAUGAGCUUGGACUUUGGGGGUCUUGCCGGCCUGCAGGUCGGCUCCUCUCAAAUGAAUCAGCUUGCCGGUGUCUGGUGGCGUCACAGGUGUGAUAACUAUCUACGCUUGUGGUUUUCUGCCAAGUAACCUCCAGCAAUGGGGGUUCACUGGAGCUCAUAAACGUCUCCUUGGUGGGGACAGCUUUGUGAAU